Molecule: long non-coding RNA, 352 nt
Organism: Erinaceus europaeus (western European hedgehog)
Lineage: Eukaryota; Metazoa; Chordata; Mammalia; Eulipotyphla; Erinaceidae
Exons: 4
Source: RefSeq, a predicted model, not a curated record
ACAUCAGCUGAGGUUCUAAGACUUGGAAGCCACAGAAAUACAGAAUGCCACUCUAAGGAUACACAAAACGCAGAGAUACAGUCAGAAACAAUGAAAGAUGCAAUUCUCCACUAUCUCUGGAGCUUCCCCUGUGUCAUAGGACUGCCAUAUGGUGCCAGCGUUCAAGCCCAGGAUUUCUCACAAGGGGACUGAAUAACUGCAAGAACAGAAACUUUCCAUCCCUGACCCGUUAAAUGGGCACUCCUGUUUCUGCCUGCAGAUACAGAUCUUGGAGUGUUGCUCAAUUGUGAAUUAUGGUGGUGCUGAGGACUAAACCUGGGACCUUUGGCACCUUACACAUCAAAGUAUUUUU